CCUACGGGAGGCAGCAGUGGGGAAUAUUGCACAAUGGGGGGAACCCUGAUGCAGCGACGCCGCGUGGGUGAGGAAGUACUUCGGUAUUUUAAGCCCUAUCAGUAGGGAGGAAAAUGACGGUACCUGACUAAGAAGCACCGGCUAACUACGUGCCAGCAGCCGCGGUACUACGGAGGGGGCAAGCGUUAUCCGGAUUUACUGGGUGUAAAGGGAGCGUAGACGGCGUGCCAAGUCUGGGGUGAAAGGCCGGGGCUCAACCCCGGGACUGCAUUUGAAACUGGCAUGCUGGAGUGCCGGAGGGGCAAGCGGAAUUCCUAGUGUAGCGGUGAAAGGCGUAGAGAUUAGGAGGAACACCGGUGGCGAAGGCGGCUUGCUGGACGGUAACUGACGUUGAGGCUCGAAAGCGUGGGGAGCAAACAGGAUUAGAUACCCCAGUAGUC
Molecule: ribosomal RNA, 440 nt
Filed under: uncultured bacterium
Lineage: Bacteria
Description: partial 16S ribosomal RNA
Rfam family: Bacterial small subunit ribosomal RNA
Source: RNAcentral